RNAcentral lists this ribosomal RNA (484 nucleotides) under uncultured bacterium. RNAcentral's name for it is "partial 16S ribosomal RNA". It matches the Rfam family "Bacterial small subunit ribosomal RNA", at positions 30 to 507 of the family's 1533-position model. The record is from RNAcentral.
AGUGAACGCUGGCGGCAGGCCUAACACAUGCGAGUCGAGCGGCAGCGGGUCCUUCGGGAUGCCGGCGAGCGGCGGACGGGUGAGGAAUGCAUCGGAAUCUGCCCUGUCGUGGGGGAUAACCUAGGGAAACUUAGGCUAAUACCGCAUACGACCCACGGGUGAAAGCGGGGGAUCGCAAGACCUCGCGCGAUAGGAUGAGCCGAUGUCCGAUUAGCUAGUUGGCGGGGUAAAGGCCCACCAAGGCGACGAUCGGUAGCUGGUCUGAGAGGAUGAUCAGCCACACUGGGACUGAGACACGGCCCAGACUCCUACGGGAGGCAGCAGUGGGGGAUAUUGGACAAUGGGCGCAAGCCUGAUCCAGCCAUGCCGCGUGGGUGAAGAAGGCCUUCGGGUUGUAAAGCCCUUUUGUCCGGGAAGAAAUCGUCUGGGCUAAUACCCCGGGCGGAUGACGGUACCGGAAGAAUAAGCACCGGCUAACUUCGUG